RNAcentral lists this long non-coding RNA (361 nucleotides) under Rattus norvegicus (Norway rat). Its description in RNAcentral is "long non-coding RNA NONRATT006335". Lineage: Eukaryota; Metazoa; Chordata; Mammalia; Rodentia; Muridae. The record is from RNAcentral.
CGAGGAGCGCGGCCGAGAAGACCGUGCAGCGGAGAAGCGGGGUGCCAAGAGCGCGGGCCGCCUGCGGAGCGACUGCCCCAGCCAGCCGGAUCCCGGUCUCAGCCCGAGCCCCACCGGAGCGGAGCCGGCCCGGUGCUCCAACUGUCCGCAGCCAUGCUGGCCGGCCGCGCCGCACGCACCUGUGCGCUGCUCGCCCUCUGCCUCCUGGGCAGUCGGGCCCAGGAUUUCGGGCCGACCCGCUUCAUCUGCACUUCGGUGCCGGUGGACGCCGACAUGUGUGCCGCGUCCGUGGCCGCGGGCGGCGCGGAGGAGCUUCGGAGCAAUGUGCUGCAGCUCCGGGAGACCGUGCUGCAGCAGAAGG